Molecule: non-coding RNA, 30 nt
Filed under: Cricetulus griseus (Chinese hamster)
Lineage: Eukaryota; Metazoa; Chordata; Mammalia; Rodentia; Cricetidae
Source: RNAcentral
AUGAACGUCAUCCACAUGCUGGAGAAUUUU